Long non-coding RNA from Arvicola amphibius (Eurasian water vole), 2966 nucleotides. RefSeq lists it as uncharacterized. The transcript is spliced from 3 exons. The record is from RefSeq and is a predicted model, not a curated record. Lineage: Eukaryota; Metazoa; Chordata; Mammalia; Rodentia; Cricetidae.
GUGUGUUGAAACCCGCAUGACAAUUAUGAAAUUAACGGGAGACAGAUAAUCGGCUUGAAAGGAAAUUUGGAUUUGGACUGAUUUUCAAUAGUGGAGGAUUCAGACAGACUGGGUGGAACUAAGAAGGAAGCAAGAGAGUCCUGGACCACAGCGAUGACUGAGCCUUCCCGUGCAAAGCCUGGCUCUCAUAACAGAUGUUCCCACUGAACUCAGGCUGUGUCAGAACCAGAGCUAGCUCGACUACAAAGACCAAACCCAGGGCCUAUUACAGCACGCUCAGCUCCAGGGUUUCCAGAAGCAUGCUGUGAUUCAAACUCAGGGCAAGUACGAGGCGUACGAGGCAAGUAUUACACCACUGAACUACAUUUACUUUUAAUCGAAUGGAAACAUAAGGUGGACUAAUGAAGUCUUUUUAUCUGCGUGGACAAAAGAAGGCAGAAAUGGUUAUUAUGAAAGGAGGGAAGACAGAAGAAAGGACCUGUGACCUCACAAACAACAACACGAAACUCCUACUAUAGACUAUUGCAUCUCAAGAGCAGGCACUCACUCCAGACUUUGCAGAAUCGAGAAAUUAAUGAAAACCUCAAGACUGUAUCCUCAGAGCCACUGAGGAAUGAUAAUUACAGACAGUAUUUCUGGAGCAGACACAUAACCUUGGUUCCCAGGGUACCCCCUAAAGCAUUCUAAUAGUAUGCUAUUUGUGGAAGGUUUUUCCACCUUUAAUAACAGAGAAAUAAUGUGAGAGGGAAAGAAAUCCCUUAUUUAGCCACUGGGGUGUUAUUAUUGAGCCCCAGCUGAAAGCCCCCUUAAAAACAUCCAUAUGGCAGAAGAACGUGUUUCCCCAUGAAAUCAAAACUGAGUACGUCUGAGACUUCUGAACAUCUUUUUCCUUGGAUCUUAAAAUGGAUCUGUGCAUAUUUGUGGAAAACAUUUUUAUGAUGUGCUAUCUUCCAAAGUGAAUGGUUAUUUAUAAUUCAUAAAAGACCUGGGCACAGGAAAAUUCUCCCCUUUUAUGAGUCCCGUAAAGUUAGGCCAGCUGAUCAGAACAUAUUACAGACAUCAGCCUCCCCGUAUGGUUGAAGUUUUUCCUCUUCAGACUAAACACAAAGGCUUGGUGGUACUGAGUCUGUUGCUUCGAAGCGAGCAGGGUCCAAAUCUCUUUUGAUUAAAUGUUAAAUAAACAAAACAUCACUCCCGGAACCAAUCUCUGAAGACACAGAAGGGAAAAAUACUUGGAAUGCUAAACAUACUUUUAAAAUCUCGCGUAGUCGUUAUAAGAACGACAGUAUGUUUUAAAUGGAUUUUCUUUUUUGUUUCCAGCAUUUAACUAGACGUUGGAUGUGGUCACCGUGUCCUCAUUUCCUCUCAGCUGGUCAGAGACUUGAGUCAGCGUCCUGGUGCCAUGAGCAAGAGUGACUUGGGUUGGUGAUGAGGACACUGGGGACGUGGACCCAAGACCGGGACCCUGGUGCCAAGGGUUUCCACCCAGUUGCACCUGGUCACCCCCACAAGCCAUGAUGUCAUCAAGAGCUAUUUCCUGCGAAGAGCUGUGCUUCUUCAUGCUGCUGGCAGCAUGUCCACCUCAUUCGCUGGUGUGCCACACAGCCGGCCACAUAAGGGAAUUACACAGACAUUUCAGCGCUCUCAAUUAGACCUGAAAAUAGCAUGUCUUCACUGUCUUUGAACUUCCCCGCCCUCUAAUAUUCCAAAUGAGCCCUGUCAACUCUAUUUUAGAAUUAUGUGGAGAUAGAAACUCUUUUUCCCCCUCCGUCCAGACAUUUAGAUGACUUUAAAAAAAUAUGGGUUGCUAACUGCUAAACGCAAAAGGGCAGUUCAUCCUUCAACAGGGUUCUUGUCUACAAAGAACUGAUUUGCUCUCUAUUCUACUCCACACGCCUGCCCUACUACUGCCCACAAUCGAUGGUUUUCAAUCGCUUUUAAAGCCUUGCUGCACAGAGUAUUUCUUUGAUCUCCUAGGCAGUUUGGAGAGCUCAAACUGUAGGGCUGAAGUUAAUACUAAAGUUCCUUGCUUCUGCACAAUUAAGAGUCCCACCAAUAGUGUUUGGCAAAGGAAAAGAGACUCAGUCAAGAGGCUACCAUUUUGGUUUGCAAACCAUGCUGCAGGCUUGCCUUAAAUGGCUAUGUUAGCUUUCUGUUAUUGCAACACAUGCUUGAGAUAAUCAGAUGGUAGAGUAAAAAGAUUUGCUUUGGCUCAUGAUUAUCGUUUUGGUGCAUGGCCAUUGGCCUCCCUGUCUCUGGGAGUAUGACAAGGGAGCACGUGGGUGGUGGUGGCUCAUGGCAGAAUAUACUCAAUGCAUGACCAGAACAACAACAGCAGCAGCAGAACAAAACUGGAGCCCCAACACUUCCCCUCCGAAGAAUGCUCUCCAAUGAAUGGGAGACCUCCCACUAGGCCCUACCUCUUGACAUUUUCAUCACCUCCCAAUAGCACCAAACUGAAGAUAAAACCUUUAGUGUAUGGGUCUUUGAGGGGCAUUCCAGAUCGAAACUACAGCAGAUGGGAAGAGUGACAUGGGAAGAAUUCAGUCCAUUUCUGUCCUUCUUAUGAGUUAUUAAGGUUUCAGCUUCCAGAGACCAGUGUGGAUGAGGCUGGGUAGCCAAGUGGUAAUAGCCAAGCAGCUUUUGAAGUGAGCUUGUCAUCAUCUUGAGCUGCCUGACUCUGAAGGGCAGAAUGGAGAGAGCUCAACCUGACCAGAUGCCAACGGCCCCAUGUGGCACCACGAGUAGGACUGGCAAAUGCAAUAUUUAUUCAGAGGGUCUUGACAACAUCGUCAUGAAGUCACCCAUCUUCCCCUAAGCGGUUUGCAUCUUAUAAGAUCCACCAUCAAGAGGCUCAAUGAGCGGGCUGGAGAGAUGGCUCAGCGGUAAGAGCAUUGCCUGCUCGUCCAAAGGUCCUGAGUUCAAUUCCCAGCAACCACAUGGUGGCUCACAACCAUCUGAAAUGA